This 2844-nucleotide long non-coding RNA is filed under the name Nicotiana tabacum (common tobacco). RNAcentral describes it as "long non-coding RNA (NTAB_LNC012143)". Lineage: Eukaryota; Viridiplantae; Streptophyta; Magnoliopsida; Solanales; Solanaceae. The record is from RNAcentral.
CUCGACAUUACUGUACAAAUCUAGAAAGUGAAAGACGACAUAAAAUGAAGAACAGACUCAAAACAUAAAAAAUAAAAUAAAUCUCCUUAAGCAACUCCUGAAUGAGCGAUCCUGACUGGAUGGUCACGGGGUGUCUGUCAUGCUCAAACUCCGGUAAGUAGACUCACACCUAUAUGAGAAAAUUAAGACCGAAUAAAGUUAAAGACCUAGAACACUAUGUGAGAUAAUAACCUUUCCUGUUGGACACAUGCAAGACAUGAUUGUGACUAUUUUUUUAAAAUUAACCUAUGUGGCUAAAAGUGGCUAAAAAUGUAAGAUUUGGCUAAGACCCUGCGAAGCCAAGAACCUAAGACUCACUAGGAAGACCGGACCCUAUGUGGGUUGCCUACGUAUCACCCCCCAAAAGACGAGAAUCAGUAUGCGUAGUUCGGGCAGAUUGGAUACGGGCGAGAAUUAAAAAUUAACAAAUAAUUUAGAGAAAAUAUAUUUUUGUCUUUGUGAAAAUGAUGAAACAUGUAAACUCUUUUUGGAUUUUCUUUUUCCUUUUUUGUGAUCCUUUUUUUUUUUUGGAAAAUGAUGGGAAAGUGCAAAAUCUUUUUGGAUAUUUUAUGUUUUUUUUGUCUUUUUCUUAAAAAAAUGUGAAGAAAAACAUAACUGGGCCCUACUUGCUUUAUUUUUUACACUUCACCCUUUUUUUUUCAUUUAUCGUCAACCCUCGUUGGUCCGCCAAAUAAUCCCUUUUACCCUUGUAGAUUGCAACAUGUAGCACAUUAGGAUGCAUCAGGAUGGUCUUUUAUUUUUUGGGGUACACUUGUCCUAGACUGACCCAACCCCUGUGUUGAGUCCCCUAAGUCAAAUGCACGUGAUGCAAACAAGUGUUACUAGUAGGGAUCCGGCAUGAGGCUAUGCUAUACUAUGUUUUAAAACCUGGGUUUAUUUGUUCUAGACCUGGCUUACCCGAGCGGACAGCUCGAGCCGAGGGGGGCAGCGUACCGGGAAUACAGAAGUUUCACCGGCUUUGCAACUUGUCCGAACCUUGUUCUAAAAUUGGGAUAUGACUCUAACAGAAGAGAAGCUACACGAAGUGCACCCUUCCCAGAUAAUUUAGAAGACUCAGAGAGAGGAGAGUUUCGUAACAAUUUAUAUACAGUCCAAAUAAUAUCAAAGAGGUAAAAAGCGGCAAUUAGCACAAUAAGCUCAAACAUGUAAAAAUCGGAUAAUAAAUAAAAGCCAACUGUAAUAGUUAUUCUAAGCUCGAAUUCUGAAUCUUAAUCCAGAGGUUCUUGGUUCUCAUCCCCAGCAGAGUCGCCAGAGCUGUCACACCUCCUUUUUCUCCCCCGCAAAGGAUGUAUGGGAGUUUUUCAAAUUAAAGUAACAAUAAUCGAAACGAGAUUAUUUAUAUUCAAGUUUAGAGUCGCCACUUGGGAUAAUUUAUGGUGUCCCAAGUCACCAGUUUAAAAUUCUGAAUUGAGGAAGUUUGACUCUAUUUAUAGUCCGCGAACACAGAAGACUGGGUAAGGAAUUCUGUUAACCCGGGAGAAUGUGUGAGGUACUCCUGAGUUCCGUGGUUUUAGCACGGUCGCUCAACUAUUAAUAAUUGGCCUCGUUAUCUAAUUUAUUACAUAUUUUAAAUCUAUUGUGCAUUUUUAACUUUAUAACCGCUUUUAUUUAUUUAACCACUUUUUAAGAUUUAUGGAAUUAUUUCUGGAACAAGUUACAGUGUCGUACAUUUGUUGUUUUGGUACAGAUUUCGAAUCGCGUCACGUGAAACGCACCCGCGAUUUACAACAUAUUUAUUUUAAUUAUUAAUCAAAAUUUUGGAUGGGUCACAGGAAAUUCACACCCGAAUUGAGAUUUACGUAUCGUGUCCAUGCCACGGGAACCGUACCCAUAGUUACGAUGAUUUAUUAUUACUAAACAUGCCUAAAGCAAGCUACGAUAUUCAUAAGUUAUUUUCCUAAAAUACUUCAAGAUUAUCGUAAGGCUAAAGUUGUGGAAAAUUAUUGUGAAAAAAGUCUAAACUUUAAUUAACGAGAAUUAGCACAACUUCAGUAAACUCCCGCAUUUAUCCAAAGAGAUUUGACAAUAUCUUUCUUUGCACGGGAGGAUUUUCCACUACUGCCUUCUAUAGAUUCAACCAAAGCACACCAAAUAAAUAUGACAGAUCAUUUUGUACUAUUAGAAAACAAAAGAAACUUGUUUAUGGUCUCAUUAUACUAGAAUUGAAGUAGUUCUAAAAGAAAUGCCAUUUAAUUUCAAGAAAUACCACAAAAUUCUAAUCAAAUAAAAGAAACGUAAUAUGGAAGAAAAAGGAAUACACAAAAACUCACUGCUGAAGAGCAGAAACUACGUUAUGAACCUCAUCGGUUGAUGGACCAAUACCCGACGAGCUAUUGAUUGAACUCUGAACCGGCGACCUCGAUGGAUUGAACUUCGCUAUUGUUCACUCGAGUUUUGGACUGAAAUUCCCUGGCUCCCUCUUAUUCUCGUUCUCUCACUAUUUCUUGCCUCCGUUUAUGCCUGUGUGCGUGUGUUUACCCAAAGAGUUCUAGAUCUAACAGUGGACGGAGGUGGUUGGCUUAGGCGUCGAGAAGGGUGAGUGCCAUUCUUCUCUUGAUUGUGAUUGAAAUAUUAAAUUUUCCACAUUCACACCCUUAAUCUAGCUACAACAGUUUGGGUAGUGAAUAUUUGACACUACUUUUCCUAUUUCUCAAGAUCAGUUACUACAAUAGGCACAAUCAAGUAUAUUGCAGAAGCUUGGAGAUUAGAGGACUGCCAUUCUUUUUCGUCUUGGAAUUGGGGUGCUCCCGUUUUUGAGUUAUUUUCGGCCGAUAGCUCUAAGUA